RNAcentral lists this ribosomal RNA (408 nucleotides) under uncultured bacterium. RNAcentral describes it as "partial 16S ribosomal RNA". It matches the Rfam family "Bacterial small subunit ribosomal RNA", at positions 28 to 526 of the family's 1533-position model. The record is from RNAcentral.
GACGAACGCUGGCGGCGUGCUUAACACAUGCAAGUCGAACGGAGUGGCGAACGGGUGAGUAACACGUGGGUGACCUGCCCUGCACUUCGGGAUAAGCCUGGGCAACUGGGUCUAAUACCGGAUAGUGUGGGAUCGGCCCGCGUCCUAUCAGCUUGUUGGUGGGGGAAUGGCCUACCAAGGCGGCGACGGGUAGCCGGCCUGAGAGGGUGGACGGCCACAAUGGGACUGAGACACGGCUCAGACUCCUAGGGGGGGCAGCAGUGGGGAGGAUUGCACAGUGGGCGGAAGCCUGAUGAAGCGACGCUGGGUGGGGGAUGAAGGCUUUCGGGUUGUAAACUCCUUUCACCAUCGACGCGGUAGAUGGAGAAGAAGCACCGGCUAACUACGUGCCAGCAGCCGCGGUAAUAC